Molecule: long non-coding RNA, 836 nt
Filed under: Mytilus galloprovincialis (Mediterranean mussel)
Lineage: Eukaryota; Metazoa; Mollusca; Bivalvia; Mytilida; Mytilidae
Source: RNAcentral
UCCUUUUGUGUUCAUAAACCUUGUGUUUAAAUUUCAUUGAUUUCUAUUUACUUAUACUAAAGUUAUUGUACGAAAACCAAGAAUAAUGCUUAUUUGGGCCCUUUUUUGGCCCCUAAUUCCUAAACUGUUGAAACCAAAACUCCCAAAAUCAAUCCCAACCUUCCUUUUGUGGUCAUAAACCUUGUGUCAAAAUUUCAUAGAUUUCAAUUUACUUAAACUAAAGUUAUAGUGCGAAAACCAAGAAAAUGCUUAUAUGGGCCCUUUUUGGCCCCUAAUUCCUAAAAUGCUGGGACCAAAACUCCCAAAAUCAAUCCCAACCUUCCUUUUGUGGUCAUAAACCUUGUGUUAAAAUUUCAUAGAUUUCUAUUCACUUUUACUAAAGUUAGAGUGCGAAAACUAAAAGUAUUCGGACGACGACGACGACGACGCCAACGUGUUAGCAAUAUACGACGAAAAAUUAAAAUUUUUGCGGUCGUAUAAAAAAUGAAUUAUAACCUCAGCAUGAGAUCGAAAUUUACUUCAUUCAAAACUUUGAUAAAUAUACACGUGAUAAUAAACAAUAGCUAAUCUAUAUGGUGGGUUUUUGUUCGAUGUUGAAGGCCAAAGGUGCUUGACAUUGUCUUAUUUUUAGUCAUUUGUAUGAAAUUUCAUGUGUCUUUCAAAGCUUGUCUCGUUUUCAAACACUCUAGAACACACAUGACACUUAUAAUAGUUAACAACUGUAUGUGACUUUAUGUGAUAUUCUAAGCUUGCCUCGUGUUUAAACUCUUCACAACAUACAUCACAUUUAUAAGAUUUAAAACCUGAAUGUAAUUUAAUGUGUUUAUCAAAACUUG